This 512-nucleotide ribosomal RNA is filed under the name uncultured bacterium. RNAcentral describes it as "partial 16S ribosomal RNA". It matches the Rfam family "Bacterial small subunit ribosomal RNA", at positions 28 to 507 of the family's 1533-position model. The record is from RNAcentral.
GAUGAACGCUGGCGGCGUGCCUAAUACAUGCAAGUCGAACGAAACUUCUUUAUCACCGAGUGCUUGCACUCACCGAUAAAGAGUUGAGUGGCGAACGGGUGAGUAACACGUUGGCAACCUGCCCAAAAGUGGGGGAUAACACUUUGAAACAGGUGCUAAUACCGCAUAACCAUAGUUACCGCAUGGUAACUAUGUAAAAGGUGGCUAUACUACCGCUUUUGGAUGGGCCCGCGGCGCAUUAGCUAGUUGGUAGGGUAAAGGCUUACCAAGGCAAUGAUGCGUAGCCGAAUUGAGAGGUUGAUCGGCCACAUUGGGACUGAGACACGGCCCAAACUCCUACGGGAGGCAGCAGUAGGGAAUCUUCCACAAUGGGCGAAAGCCUGAUGGAGCAACGCCGCGUGGGUGAAGAAGGUCUUCGGAUCGUAAAACCCUGUUGUUAGAGAAGAAAGUGCGUGAGAGUAACUGUUCACGUUUCGACGGUAUCUAACCAGAAAGCCACGGCUAACUACGUG